GCCUCGGUUCCAGCUUUUCAGCCAACGAACACGGCGGGAAUGAACACCAUGUUGGAUUGCACGACUCGGCCAUGGACGAAGGUCGAGAUUGCAGUUUCAUUCCCUUGUUCUUAUCAACCAAUCUUGGACACAUCUAUUUACAAUCAGCUUAAACGCAAGCUGCUAUAAAGUACGAAGAAUGCUGUUCUGGGAGGAAUUCAAAAGAGGGCGGUUGCAACACGAACUGGCAUCAUCAUGAAGAAAAUCUCAGCAACUUCGUUGCGAUACCACUUGGAGGCUCAACCAAAUGUCUAGAAAUGAUUUCAGAAAGAUACCACUUGGAGGCUCAACCAAAUGUCUAGAAAUGAUUUCAGAAAGGUAAAAUUUUAAGCUUUAUUUUGUUUUACGUAAAAAUUUUUUUGAAAAAAUUUAAAUAUUUUUAACUUUUUGCAGGUACGGGGGUCAUGAAUUUUUUAAAAAAUCACCAAGUCCUUCUUUUGAAAAAAUCAGCAUAAAUUUCACAGAAACUAACAGAAAUGGCGUUCAAAACGUAUCUUGAGGCUUUUUAGGUUGUUUUGUGUCAAAAAAUUUUUUUUAGAAAUUUCAAGAUUUAUCAACCUUUUUGCAGGUGUGGGGUCAGAAAUUUUUCAAAAAUCACCAACUCCUUAUUUUCAAAAAAUCAACAUAAAUUUAACCGAAACGACCCGAAAUGGCGUUCAGAAAGUAUCUUGAGGCUUUUUAGGUUGUUUCGAGUAAAAAAAAUUUUUUUAAAAGUUUCAAGAUUUUUCAACUCUUUUGCAGGUCCGGGGUCAUGAAUUUUUUCAAAAAUCACAAAGUCCUUUUUUUCAAAAAAUCAGCAUAAAUUUCACCGAAACGACCUGAAAUGGCGUUCAGAACGUAUCUUGAGGCUUUUUAGGUUGUUUCGAAUAAAAAAUUUUUUUUGAAAAAUUUCAAGAUUUUUCAACUUUUUUGCAGGUCCGGGGUGAUGAAUUUUUUCAAAAAUCACCAACUCCCUUUUUUCACAAAAUCAGCAUAAAUUUAACCGAAACGACCCGAAAUGGCGUUCAGAACGUAUCUUGAGGCUUUUUAGGUUGUUUCAAGUAAAAACAUUUUUUUGAAAAAUUUCAAGAUUUUUCAACUUUUUUGCAGGUCCGGGGUCAUGAAUUUUUUCAAAAAUCACCAAAUCCUUAUUUUCCUAAAAUCAUCAUAAAUUUCACCGAAAAGACCCGAAAUGGCGUUCAGAACGUAUCUUGAGGCUUUUUAGGUUGUUUGGAGUAAAAAAAACUUUUGAAAAAUUUUAAGAAUUUUCAACUUUUUUGCAGGUCCGGGGUCAUGAAUUUUUUCAAAAAUCACCAACUUCUUAUUUUCGAAAAUCAGCAUAAAUUUAACCGAAACGACCUGAAAUGGCGUUCAGAACGUAUCGGGUCAUGAAUUUUUUCAAAAAUCACAAAGUCCUUAUUUUCCUAAAAUCAGCAUCAACUUCACCAAAAAGACCCGAAAUGGUGUUCAGAACGUAUCUUUCGGCUUUUUAGGUUGUUUCGAGUAAAAAAAAAUUUUUGAAAAAUUUCAAGAUUUUUCAACUUUUUUGCAGGUCCGGGGUCAUGAAUUUUUUCAAAAAUCACAAAGUCCUUUUUUUCCUAAAAUCAGCAUCAACUUCACCAAAAAGACCCGAAAUGGUGUUCAGAACGUAUCGGGUCAUGAAUUUUUUCAAAAAUCACAAAGUCCUUAUUUUCCUAAAAUCAGCAUCAACUUCACCAAAAAGACCCGAAAUGGUGUUCAGAAAGUAUCUUGCGGCUUUUUAGGUUGUUUCGGGUAAAAAAAUAUUUUUGAAAAAUUUCAAGAUUUUUCAACUUUUUUGCAGGUCCGGGGUCAUGAAUUUUUUCAAAAAUCACCAACUCCUUAUUUUCCUAAAAUCAGCAUAAAUUUCACCGAAAAGACCCGAAAUGGUGUUCAGAACGUAUCUUGAGGCUUUUUAGGUUGUUUGGAGUAAAAAAAACUUUUGAAAAAUUUUAAGAAUUUUCAACUUUUUUGCAGGUCCGGGGUCAUGAAUUUUUUCAAAAAUCACAAAGUCCUUAUUUUCCUAAAAUCAGCAUCAACUUCACCAAAAAGACCCGAAAUGGUGUUCAGAACGUAUCGGGUCAUGAAUUUUUUCAAAAAUCACAAAGUCCUUAUUUUCCUAAAAUCAGCAUCAACUUCACCAAAAAGACCCGAAAUGGUGUUCAGAACGUAUCUUGAGGCUUUUUAGGUUGUUUGGAGUAAAAAAAACUUUUCAAAAAUUUUAAGAAUUUUCAACUUUUUUGCAGGUCCGGGGUCAUGAAUUUUUUCAAAAAUCACAAAGUCGUUAAUUUCCUAAAAUCAGCAUCAACUUCACCAAAAAGACCCGAAAUGGUGUUCAGAACAUAUCUUCUGGCUUUUUAGGUUGUUUCGGGUAAAAAAAAAUUUUUGAAAAAUUUCAAGAUUUUUCAACUUUUUUGCAGGUCCGGGGUCAUGAAUUUUUUCAAAAAUCACCAACUCCUUAUUUUCCUAAAAUCAGCAUAAAUUUCACCGAAAAGACCCGAAAUGGUGUUCAGAACGUAUCUUGAGGCUUUUUAGGUUGUUUGGAGUAAAAAAAACUUUUGAAAAAUUUUAAGAAUUUUCAACUUUUUUGCAGG
Molecule: non-coding RNA, 2630 nt
Organism: Rhopilema esculentum
Lineage: Eukaryota; Metazoa; Cnidaria; Scyphozoa; Rhizostomeae; Rhizostomatidae
Source: RefSeq, a predicted model, not a curated record